GGCUAUUAUGAGAUUAUUUAUAGUCUAGCCUGCUCAGUGAUAGUAAUUAUUAAAUAGCCGCGGUAUUUUGACCGUGCAAAGGUAGCAUAAUCAUUAGUUUCUUAAUUGGAAACUCGUAUGAAUGGUUGGACAAAGAAGAAGCUGUCUCUUAUAUUAUUAUUGAAUUUAACCUUUAAGUGAAAAGGCUUAAAUAUUCUAGAGGGACGAUAAGACCCUAUAAAGCUUUAUAAGUUUAGAGAUUUUGUAUAUUUUUCUAUAAAAAUAAAUUCUGUAAAAUUUAUUUGGUUGGGGCGACAAUGGUAUAAAGGAAAUAACUGCUAUAAAAAUUGACAAUUAUAUUUGGUUUAUAAAUAAUUGAUCCUUUCUAAGGAUUUUAAAAUCAAGUUACUUUAGGGAUAACAGCGUUAUUUUUUCUGAGAGUUCUUAUCAAAGGAAAAGUUUGCGACCUCGAUGUUGAAUUAAAAUGUCUUUAUAGUGCAGCAGCUAUAAAAGAAGGUCUGUUCGACCUUUAAUAUUUUACAUGAUUUGAGUUCAGACCGGCGAGAGCCAG
Molecule: ribosomal RNA, 550 nt
Filed under: Charybdis variegata
Lineage: Eukaryota; Metazoa; Arthropoda; Malacostraca; Decapoda; Portunidae
Description: partial 16S ribosomal RNA
Rfam family: Archaeal large subunit ribosomal RNA
Source: RNAcentral